ACGGGGGGAGCAAGCGUUGUUCGGAUUUACUGGGCGUAAAGGGCGCGUAGGCGGCCUGCUAAGUCGAACGUGAAAUCCCUGGGCUCAACCCAGGAACUGCGUCCGAUACUGGUUGGCUUGAAUCCGGGAGAGGGACGUGGAAUUCCAGGUGUAGCGGUGAAAUGCGUAGAUAUCAGGAGGAACACCGAUGGCGAAGGCAGCUUCCUGGUCCAAUUCUGACGCUGAGGUGCGAAAGCGUGGGUAGCGAACGGGA
This 253-nucleotide ribosomal RNA is filed under the name uncultured prokaryote. RNAcentral's name for it is "partial 16S ribosomal RNA". It matches the Rfam family "Bacterial small subunit ribosomal RNA", at positions 525 to 777 of the family's 1533-position model. The record is from RNAcentral.